GACGAACGCUGGCGGCGUGCUUAACACAUGCAAGUUGAACGGAAAGGCCCUGCUUUUGUGGGGUGCUCGAGUGGCGAACGGGUGAGUAACACGUGAGUAACCUGCCCUUGACUUUGGGAUAACUUCAGGAAACUGGGGCUAAUACCGGAUAGGAGCUCCUGCUGCAUGGUGGGGGUUGGAAAGUUUCGGCGGUUGGGGAUGGACUCGCGGCUUAUCAGCUUGUUGGUGGGGUAGUGGCUUACCAAGGCUUUGACGGGUAGCCGGCCUGAGAGGGUGACCGGCCGCAUUGGGACUGAGAUACGGCCCAGACUCCUACGGGAGGCAGCAGUGGGGAAUAUUGCACAAUGGGCGGAAGCCUGAUGCAGCAACGCCGCGUGCGGGAUGACGGCCUUCGGGUUGUAAACCGCUUUCGCCUGUGACGAAGCGUGAGUGACGGUAAUGGGUAAAGAAGCACCGGCUAACUACGUG
RNAcentral lists this ribosomal RNA (468 nucleotides) under uncultured bacterium. Its description in RNAcentral is "partial 16S ribosomal RNA". It matches the Rfam family "Bacterial small subunit ribosomal RNA", at positions 28 to 507 of the family's 1533-position model. The record is from RNAcentral.